GGCUGCGCUGCCCGCCUCGUCGGGCGGCUGUUCCAGCGUCCAGAUCUGCUUCUUCUUCAGGCUGCUGGCCGACGCAUUCACCUUGAACCCGAACGUCUCGGCCGUCAGGAUCUCAACGCUAGAAACCUCCUGUCACACCUGACCAGGGCUGCCGGCUUUCAGGGCAUGGGCCCUGCACUUGGUCUUGACUGUUGUCCAGGGACCAGGGUUUGAGGCCCCUCGAAGCUUCAGUUCCUCGUCUGCAAAAGGACAGGAUGUGACAUCCUGGGAGUUUCCCGCCAGCAUCACUUAGAGCCGUGAACAGGGGGCUCCCCGUCUUCUCUGAGCCUCACUUUCCCUUCUCUCAAAAGGAGUAAGGAAGAUGGCAAAGUUCUGGAACAGGACCGACACGCAGGUGGAUGGAAUAGAAGAUUGAGCCCAAUUGACUUAUCCAGUCAUUUGAUUUUCACCAAAGGUGCCAAAGAAAUAGAGCCCCUGGGAACCCCGGCAUCAUUCCCGCCACUUGUGGGCUGCUCCAAGGUAAGGACCCGGCUGUCGUGGUGGCCACAGCAUCUCUGUGCUCCGUCCAGAGUCUGGCUUGUUAAAUUCCCCAUGAGGGCGCAGCAACGCCACCACCACGAUGACCCCACAGAUGGGAAGGAGCGCGUGCUGGGUGACUCCUUUUAGGAAGUUCAAGAACAGUCAAAGCUAGUCGGGGAGGUGCUGGCCAGGUGGGGCUCCAGGGGGCUUCUAGGAGCUGGAAAUGUUCGGUGUCAGCCACAGACGUAACUUUAACUGUUCCAGCGGCCUCAUUGACACGGUAAAAAUAAACCAGUGAAAUCAAUUUUAAUAAUAUAUCUUAUUGAACCCAUGAGUAUGCCCCAAAUAUGAUCAUUUCAAUAUGUAAUCAAUAUAAAAGUUACUGAGAAAUUUUUAGGUUCUCCUUGCCCUCCAAACUAAGCCAUCUGGCCCACCUACACUCCGUCAAGCUGCACCUGGCCCGCUCCCACCACAGGCCCAUCCUGGGCUCCACAGGCUGACAUCUCGGCUGGACACAUCUCAACAGACACAUACUUGUACUCAAGGUAGGUGCACUUUGUGUUGGAAGAAAGAGAGAAAGAGAAAUAGACGCGGGGGGCGAGGGAGGGAGGAAGGAAGAUGUUGUCCUUGAGUGACUGAGUCCCUGAGUCAGGAGGGGGGCUCUGGUGACCGACCAGGCACAGCCUUCGGGCCUCCCUUCCACAAAGGUGCAGAGUAAUGGGGACCAGAGGCCCUGGAGGCUGUGGGGGGGCCAUCCUUGGGGAAGCUCCCCUCCUCCAGGCAGCUGCCAGAGGCUGUGAUUCCACAGGGCCCCCAUCCAGCCCCUUAUCUCCCUCAGCUGGUAGCCCAUUGUCUUGGAAGGAAGGGAAGGGCAGA
Aethalodelphis obliquidens (Pacific white-sided dolphin) is the source of this 1395-nucleotide long non-coding RNA. RefSeq lists it as uncharacterized. The record is from RefSeq and is a predicted model, not a curated record. The transcript has 4 exons. NCBI's taxonomy places the organism in Eukaryota, Metazoa, Chordata, Mammalia, Artiodactyla, Delphinidae.